GCGAGAGUGGCGGAAUGGCAGACGCGCUACUUUGAGGGGGUAGUAUCCAACCGGAUGUGCGGGUUCAAGUCCCGCCUCUCGCACCA
RNAcentral lists this transfer RNA (86 nucleotides) under Tissierellia bacterium. RNAcentral describes it as "tRNA-Leu". It matches the Rfam family "tRNA". From Rfam's summary of the family: Transfer RNA (tRNA) molecules are approximately 80 nucleotides in length. Their secondary structure includes four short double-helical elements and three loops (D, anti-codon, and T loops). Lineage: Bacteria; Bacillati; Bacillota; Tissierellia. The record is from RNAcentral.